CACCAUUUUUUAACUAUUCGUUUUGUCUUCCUCUUUCGGGAACGAUGCCUUGAAGGUUCGGUGGAAAGUCGAUGGACACGAACAGCACACAACGCAAUGGCGGGGGAUAAAUGUGGGAGGAGCCUAUUUUGUUCUUGCAGACGACAACAAAGAACACCAGCUUUUGACUUUCUCCCCUCUUUUUUUAUUUAAUUAUUUAUCUAGAAACGAAAUGGAUUGACGCAAUAAGCGUACUCGCCACAAGAAAUAUGUCUCAACGCGCAUGUCGACUGUUGUGAAGGGCUAAUAACUAAAACGUGGUCCAUGAAAGUUUUCCCAAUUCUGUUGGCUGUGGACGACCUCGUGUGCAGCUUUACACGCGUGGUAGAUCGUACAACUGGUAACAUUAUCAAAGCAAUCGAUAUAUCGUGUGGAACAGACAGGAAAUAAAAGUUGGGACUUAAAAUUCAUGCCAACCUCCGUCACUGUGAAAAGGACAAACACGCACUAGUUCAAUUACAAAACGGUGUCUCUAUGACGGAGGUGGAGAAUCAUGGCACGCCGUCGUGUUAUUGUCUGCACGUUACGACAGCGAAAUGGGGUGCUGAUGGGCGCAACGUAUGGUGAGGGGAAGGCACUGUUGCAUUUUCAAAUAGCCAACGGAAGUUCCGACUCUACACUUCCGCUCGUUCAAUACUAUUACACCUGUGCAUCAGACGAGACUGUGUGGCUCGUUAAGUCCGGUUCGUUGUUUUUUUUGUGUGUUAAAUUUAGUGACCUAGAAAACCACACCAAAACACUAACGGGAAAUGAGACAAUGCACAGGAAAAUUCGUUGAUUCGACACAGCAUUCCAUCAUUACGUAUAGGAAAUGAAAAAUUGGGAAUUUGUGAAAAAUGGCGCCUCCGUUAUGCAAAUAUUGAAAAUGUACACAGGCAAACAAAACGGUUUUAUACUUUCACGCAGAUCCGAAAAACAAAAGAAUAUAACGUUUCGGUUGGAAAUGUGGAGUGAGGAUCAAAUGAGGCGAAGCAUGUACACAGGUAUACAUUCACACACCGAUGCAUUCAAAUCAUAUACCAAUAGUUUCACCAAUUUCUAUCAAACAAACAUCAAUUGCCAAUAUUUUCUUUCCUUCUUCGUUAUAUUGGAUAGUAAAAACUUUCUGAACAAUGUAAUACUUCAUGAGAAACACACGCUAUCACACACACACGGGCACCGACAUCUUGUUUCUCUAAAAAACACAGGACGUCUGCCAAUAGACACGACAAUUUGCAUUUAAAAUCGAUAUUUUUCGUUUAGUUCGUAAAUUAAAAAGGGGGAAGACAAAAAUUACAUUUGGAUUGAUGUUAUGUGCAUUCACAUUUGACACGAUUAAAAGAAAGUGAAAUAAUAAAACAAACAGG
Long non-coding RNA from Daphnia magna, 1385 nucleotides. RefSeq lists it as uncharacterized. The record is from RefSeq and is a predicted model, not a curated record. The transcript has 4 exons. NCBI's taxonomy places the organism in Eukaryota, Metazoa, Arthropoda, Branchiopoda, Diplostraca, Daphniidae.